RNAcentral lists this ribosomal RNA (112 nucleotides) under uncultured eukaryote. RNAcentral describes it as "partial small subunit ribosomal RNA". It matches the Rfam family "Eukaryotic small subunit ribosomal RNA", at positions 1676 to 1785 of the family's 1831-position model. The record is from RNAcentral.
UCGCUCCUACCGAUUGAAUGAUCCGGUGAAAUCGGUGAAGCAUGGCACAAUUUAGGUUUCCUAAACUGUGCUGUUGCGAAAUUGAUUAAACCUUAUCAUUUAGAGGAAGGAG